CGCGCGUCAAAAGCAACUGAGAUUGCCCUGCUUAUUAAUUUUAGAAGCUGGAUGAGAGAGCAGAUAAUAUUCACACAAACUUCCAGAGACUUGUCAUUAUAAUACAAUAUAACAAAGUAAACAGCUUCUUUCUUCUACCCACCUGUCUCACCCUGAGUCCCCGCAGCGUGUGUUGUUGUGGCUUUGGUUUUUUCAAACUCGACGCGCGCGCUGCGUGCGCUCCGCUCCGCUCUCUUCUCAGCGACGCUCGACUAGCACUUCCGUGUUGGCGAGUCCCGACGUCACGCGGAAUGUGAAGCAGGAAACGCGGAUGUGUUGCGCUUAAUCUGCAUCUACAGGUAUUCGCAAACAACUCUCUUUCUUUCUUCACUUUAUUAAUUCUUAUCAACACAAGACACCGUAGCGCCAUUUUUGAUCAUGUGUUUUUAUAGCCGUCAGUUUAAGCUCUGAAGGGUUCUGAUCGGAUUCGCUUAAUUCGUAUUUGUGUGUGUGUGUGUGUGUGUGUGUGUGUGUGUGUGUGUGUGUGUGAUCCAGACGUGUUCCGAUCCAUAUGUCAAACCCAAACCCCCUUUCAAGCUGAUCUGAUCCAAACGCAGUGCAUCGGACGCGGGUCGGACGGAACCGAGUGGAGGAAUGCCUACCGAUGCUCUCAUGUUGGCAGUAAUGGGGAUUCAACAGGCACCAGUGGGAAGCAGGAUUUACACCCAGCUCUGGGGUGGCCCGCACUGGGUGAGCGCCCCCUGGUGGCUGUGGCUGCUUCUUCUCUGUUAUUAAAUAGCUUU
RNAcentral lists this long non-coding RNA (782 nucleotides) under Sinocyclocheilus grahami. Its description in RNAcentral is "lncRNA (ENSSGRG00000038533.1)". The record is from RNAcentral. Lineage: Eukaryota; Metazoa; Chordata; Actinopteri; Cypriniformes; Cyprinidae.